GAGGGUGUAGCUCAGUGGUAGAGCACACGCGUAGCAUGCAUGAAGUCCUGGAUUCAACCCAGUGCCUCCG
Molecule: transfer RNA, 70 nt
Filed under: Camelus ferus (Wild Bactrian camel)
Lineage: Eukaryota; Metazoa; Chordata; Mammalia; Artiodactyla; Camelidae
Rfam family: tRNA
About the family: Transfer RNA (tRNA) molecules are approximately 80 nucleotides in length. Their secondary structure includes four short double-helical elements and three loops (D, anti-codon, and T loops).
Source: Rfam by way of RNAcentral